Molecule: non-coding RNA, 128 nt
Organism: Anolis carolinensis (green anole)
Lineage: Eukaryota; Metazoa; Chordata; Lepidosauria; Squamata; Anolidae
Source: Rfam
UGUGAGACUAAAAAUAUUUGAAAUCCUAACAGCACCAAUUUCUGUCUGAUCUUUGAAGCUAAGUCAGAUCAGACCUGGCUAGUACUUGAAUGGGGGACUACCGGUGAAAAUCAGGUGUGGCUUCAGAG